GCCGACCUAGCUCAAUUGGUAGAGCGACGGUAUCGUAAACCGUAGGUUGUGGGUUCGAUUCCCACGGUCGGCUCCA
This 76-nucleotide transfer RNA is filed under the name Candidatus Buchananbacteria bacterium. RNAcentral describes it as "tRNA-Thr". It matches the Rfam family "tRNA". Rfam says of the family: Transfer RNA (tRNA) molecules are approximately 80 nucleotides in length. Their secondary structure includes four short double-helical elements and three loops (D, anti-codon, and T loops). Lineage: Bacteria; Candidatus Buchananiibacteriota. The record is from RNAcentral.